GAUGAACGCUGACAGAAUGCUUAACACAUGCAAGUCGAUGGGGAGGUGGUGCUUGCACCAUGGUAACCAUGGCGGACGGGUGAGUAACGCGUAAGGAACUUGCCUGCGGGACUGGGAUAACAGCAGGAAACUGCUGAUAAUACCGGAUAAGGUCAUUAAGCUGCAUAGCUUAGUGAUGAAAGGAGACGCCUGCGGAGAGCUUUGCGUCCCAUUAGCUAGUUGGAGAGGUAACGGCUCACCAAGGCUUUGACGGGUAGCCGGCCUGAGAGGGUGACCGGUCACAUUGGGACUGAGAUACGGCCCAGACUCCUACGGGAGGCAGCAGUGGGGAAUAUUGCACAAUGGGCGCAAGCCUGAUGCAGCGACGCCGCGUGAGGGAUGGAGGCCUUCGGGUUGUAAACCUCUUUCGCUCAUGGUCAAGCCGCAACAGUGGUUGUGGUGAGGGUAGUGGGUAAAGAAGCGCCGGCUAACUACGUGCCAGCAGCCGCGGUAAUACGUAGGGCGCGAGCGUUGUCCGGAAUUAUUGGGCGUAAAGGGCUUGUAGGCGGUUGGUCGCGUCUGCCGUGAAAUCCUCUGGCUUAACUGGGGGCGUGCGGUGGGUACGGGCUGACUUGAGUGCGGUAGGGGAGACUGGAACUCCUGGUGUAGCGGUGGAAUGCGCAGAUAUCAGGAAGAACACCGGUGGCGAAGGCGGGUCUCUGGGCCGUUACUGACGCUGAGGAGCGAAAGCGUGGGGAGCGAACAGG
Molecule: ribosomal RNA, 746 nt
Filed under: uncultured Parvimonas sp.
Lineage: Bacteria; Bacillati; Bacillota; Tissierellia; Tissierellales; Peptoniphilaceae
Description: bacterial SSU rRNA
Rfam family: Bacterial small subunit ribosomal RNA
Source: RNAcentral